RNAcentral lists this ribosomal RNA (517 nucleotides) under uncultured Sphingomonas sp. Its description in RNAcentral is "bacterial SSU rRNA". It matches the Rfam family "Bacterial small subunit ribosomal RNA", at positions 371 to 905 of the family's 1533-position model. Lineage: Bacteria; Pseudomonadati; Pseudomonadota; Alphaproteobacteria; Sphingomonadales; Sphingomonadaceae. The record is from RNAcentral.
AUGGGCGUCAGCCUGAUGCAGCCAUGCCGCGUGAGUGAUGAAGGCCUUCGGGUUGUAAAGCUCAUUUACCGGGGAAGAUAAUGACUGUACCGGGAGAAUAAGCCCCGGCUAACUCCGUGCCAGCAGCCGCGGUAAUACGGAGGGGGCUAGCGUUGUUCGGAAUUACUGGGCGUAAAGCGCACGUAGGCGGCUUUUCAAGUCAGGGGUGAAAGCCCGCGGCUCAACCGCGGAAUUGCCCUUGAGACUGUAUCUCUUGAAUACGGGAGAGGUGAGUGGAAUUCCGAGUGUAGAGGUGAAAUUCGUAUAUAUUCGGAAGAACACCAGUGGCGAAGGCGGCUCACUGGACCGUUGUUGACGCUGAGGUGCGAAAGCGUGGGGAGCAAACAGGAUUAAAUACCCUGGUAGUACACGCCGUAAACGAUCAAGACUAGCUGUCCGGAAGCUUAUCUCUUUGGUGGCUCGGGUAACCCUUUAACUCUUCCCCCUGGGGAGUCCGGCCCCAAGUUUAAACCUCAAA